Molecule: transfer RNA, 77 nt
Filed under: Burkholderiales bacterium
Lineage: Bacteria; Pseudomonadati; Pseudomonadota; Betaproteobacteria; Burkholderiales
Also listed under: 6 other names
Description: tRNA-Pro
Rfam family: tRNA
About the family: Transfer RNA (tRNA) molecules are approximately 80 nucleotides in length.
Source: RNAcentral
CGGGGCGUGGCGCAGCCUGGUAGCGCACCUGCCUUGGGCGCAGGGGGUCGGAGGUUCGAAUCCUCUCGCCCCGACCA